This 1049-nucleotide ribosomal RNA is filed under the name Nosema bombycis. Its description in RNAcentral is "SSU rRNA". It matches the Rfam family "Microsporidia small subunit ribosomal RNA", at positions 77 to 1203 of the family's 1311-position model. Lineage: Eukaryota; Fungi; Microsporidia; Nosematidae. The record is from RNAcentral.
AGACGAACAGCUCAGUAACUCUUAUUUGAUUUGAUGUAUUAGGAUUCUAACUAUGUUAAAUUAUAGGUAACAAUAAUACAAUAAGAAUAAGAUCUAUCAGUUAGUUGUUAAGGUAAUGGCUUAACAAGACUAUGACGGAUAACGGUAUUACUUUGUAAUAUUCCGGAGAAGGAGCCUGAGAGAUUGCUACUAAGUCUAAGGAUUGCAGCAGGGGCGAAACUUGACCUAUGAUAUUAUAUUGAGGCAGUUAUGAGUAGUAUUUUAUAAUUAUUGUAGUAUUGUAAGUACAUAUUACAAGAUAAAUCGGAGGGCAAAUCGAGUGCCAGCAGCCGCGGUAAUACUUGUUCCGAUAGUGUGUAUGAUGAUUGAUGCAGUUAAAAAGUCUGUAGUUUAUUUAUAAUAAGCAUUGUAAGGUAUACUGUAUGGUUAGGAGAGAGAUGAAAUGUGAUAACCCUAACUGGAUGAACAGAAGCGAAAGCUGUAUACUUAAAUGUAUUAUUAGAACAAGGACGUAAGCUAGAGGAUCGAAGAUGAUUAGAUACCAUUGUAGUUCUAGCAGUAAACUAUGUUGAAUCAUAGAUAUAUUUUGAUAUAUAUUUAUGUAGAGAAAUUAAGAUUAUAUUGACUCUGGGGAUAGUAUGAUCGCAAGAUUGAAAAUUAAAGAAAUUGACGGAAGAAUACCACAAGGAGUGGAUUGUGCGGCUUAAUUUGACUCAACGCGGGGUAAUUUACCAGGUAUAACAUGGUAUAAUAUUUUAUCAUGAUAGUGGUGCAUGGCCGUUUCCAAUGGAUGCUGUGAAGUAAUGAUUAAUUUCAACAAGAUGUGAGACCCUCAUUUAGACAGAUGUAGUGAUACAUAUGAAGGAGAGGAUUAAAACAGGUCCGUUAUGCCCUAAGAUAAUCUGGGUUGCACGCGCAAUACAAUAAUAUUUGAUAUUAUAAGGGAUAAUAUAAUGUAAGAUAUAUUUGAAACAUGGAAUUGCUAGUAAAUUUUAUUUAAUAAGUAGAAUUGAAUGAGUCCCUGUUCUUUGUACACACCGCCCGUCGCU